Molecule: long non-coding RNA, 1129 nt
Filed under: Homo sapiens (human)
Lineage: Eukaryota; Metazoa; Chordata; Mammalia; Primates; Hominidae
Description: HSALNT0254595
Source: RNAcentral
UGGGCAUGAUGGUGCAUGCCUGUAAUCCCAGUUACUUGUUAAGCUGAGGCAGGAGAAGUGCUUGAGCCUGGCAGGCAGAGGUUGCAGUGAGCCGAGAUCACGCCAUUGCACUCCAGCCUGGGUAAUAAGAGUGAAAUUCCAUCUCAACAAAAAUAAUAAAAUAAAUUAAAAUUAAAAACCUAUAAUCAAACAUGUGACUUCCAGGCAGGUUUCUCAACCUCUGCACUCAUUUGGGGCCGGAUCAUUCUCUGUUGUGGGGACCGAGUGCUGGAGGUUAUCUUCCAGCAUCCCUGGCCUCCCCCGACUACCUGACUAGAUGCCAGCUGCACACCCCCACCCCCCACCCCAUGACAAGCUAAACUGAUGCCCCGGGGCAGGAUCCAGCACUCCGGUGGAGAACAUGGCUCAGUGGAUAGUCGGUUCCCGUUGCGUUUUGCCUCCUGUCUUCUGGUUUUGGCCUCUCUGGCUGCAGACCAGGAGCUCUGCACCUGAGAUUCUACCGCUAUGCCUAUUUUACAGAGAGGAGCUGGGGGAAGACGGGGGUCCGGGAAGGGCCAGGCUGGAGGGCUGUUUCCCCAGAGCCCACUUGGAGGGAGCUGGCUGGGCAGAUCUGACCAGCCCUGCGCCAGGCCCCGAGGAGCAGUCAGGGGACUCAGGGAGUCACAGCACAACGGCAGCUCCUCGGUCCCAGACGGAGGAGGGGGACAGCAACCAUGCGCCCAGCAAGACACAAGCGAUGACACCGAUUUACACACACCCGGUUUAGACGCCAAAGCUCUGCGGGGGAGGAGCGGCCCUCAAGAGUCCUCCGGGAGCUCCGGGUGAGGGUGGGGCCCUAGGAGGGGGCCCCGCGCAGCUGCUCCAGGCCGUCCGCGUACUGGAAGGCCCGCCCGGUCUCGUGCUCAUACAUGUCCAGAGCCACCUCGCAGCUCUCACGCACCACGCGCUCUGGGUCGUCCGCGUGAGCCUGCAGCGCGGCCAGGCAGGCGGGCCGGGCAAUGGCGCCCAGGGCCUCCGCGCACUCGUGCCGCACCAUGGGGUUCUCGGUGCAUCGGGCCAGGGCGGCCGCCAGCUGGGGCACCGCCGCCUCGUGCUGCAGCUGUCCCAGGACGUAGCCGACCUCGUGGCG